AUGCUUGCCUCGGCAGCACAUAUACUAAAAUUGGAAUGAUACAGAGAAGAUUAACAUGGCCCCUGAGCAUGGAUGACAUGCAAAUUUGUGAAGUGUAGGCUGUCAGU
Molecule: small nuclear RNA, 107 nt
Organism: Trichosurus vulpecula (common brushtail)
Lineage: Eukaryota; Metazoa; Chordata; Mammalia; Diprotodontia; Phalangeridae
Source: RefSeq, a predicted model, not a curated record